This 1460-nucleotide ribosomal RNA is filed under the name uncultured phototrophic eukaryote. RNAcentral describes it as "bacterial SSU rRNA". It matches the Rfam family "Bacterial small subunit ribosomal RNA". The record is from RNAcentral.
GAUGAACGCUGGCGGCAUGCUUAACACAUGCAAGUCGAACGAGGUAUUCUAAUCGAUUUUCUCUUUUUUCGCAAGUUAAAAGAGAUCUAAGAGAAGGGUGCUGACAGUGGCGGACGGGUGCGUAACGCGUAAGAAUCUACCCCUUGGAGAAGGAUAACAUUGGGAAACUAUUGCUAAUACUUCAUAUCGCUGAGGAGUGAAACAUAGGUAACUAUGGCCAGGGGAGGAGCUUGCGUCUGAUUAGCUAGUUGGUGGGGGUAACGGCCUCCCAAGGCCACGAUCAGUAGCUGGUCUGAGAGGAUGAUCAGCCACACUGGAACUGAGAAACGGUCCAGACUCCUACGGGAGGCAGCAGUGAGGAAUUUUCCGCAAUGGGCGAAAGCCUGACGGAGCAAUGCCGCGUGAAGGAUGAAGGUCCGUGGAUCGUAAACUUCUUUUACCAAAAAAGAAAAAAAUGACGGUAUUUGGUGAAUAAGCUCCGGCUAACCCUGUGCCAGCAGCCGCGGUAAUACAGGGGGAGCAAGCGUUAUCCGGAAUGAUUGGGCGUAAAGCGUCUGUAGGUCGCAUCUAAAGUCCACUGUUAAAUACCAGGGCUCAACCUUGGACAGGCAUUGGAGUACUUAUUUGCUAGAGUGUGGGAGAGGUAGGGGGAAUUCCUCAUGGAGCGGUGAAAUGCGUAGAGAUGAGGAGGAACACCGGUGGCGAAAGCGCCCUACUGGACCAAGACUGACACUGAGAGACGAAAGCUAGAGGAGUGACCAGGAUUAGAUACCCUGUUAAUUCUAGCUGUAAACGAUGGAAACUAAAUGCUGCGCAAAGCAGUGUUGUAGCUAACGCGUUAAGUUUCCCGCCUGGGGAGUAUGACCGCAAGGUUGAAACUCAAAGGAAUUGACGGGGGCCUGCACAAGCAGAGGAUUAUGUGGUUUAAUUCGAUGCAACGCGAAGAACCUUACCAGGGUUUGACAUACCAAUAAGUUCUCAGAAAUGAGGAUGUGCUUUAAAUCUGCGAAGAAAAAGAAUUUGGAUACAGGUGGUGCAUGGCUGUCGUCAGCUCGUGCCUUGAGGUGUAUGAUUAAGUUCCAUAACGAGCGCAACCCUUGUCUUUAGUUAUAUUCUCUAAAGAGACUGCCGGUGUAAGCCGGAGGAAGGAGAGGAUGACGUCAAGUCAGCAUGCCCCUUACACCCUGGGCGACACACGUAAUACAAUGGCCAAGACAAUGAGAUGCAAAUAUGCAAAUAUCAGCGAACCUCGAAACUUGGCCCCAGUUCCGAUUGCGGGCUGCAACUCGCCCGCAUGAAGCCGGAUUUGCUAGUAAUCGCCGGUCAGCCAUACGGCGGUGAAUACGUUCCCAGGCCUUGUACACACCGCCCGUCACACGUACAAAACAGAAUUGGGCCGAAGUAGGUAACCCAACCGUUUACGGAGGGAGCUUAUUACGCCACGUUUCGUAAUAUUCGUG